This is a long non-coding RNA of Stegodyphus dumicola, 697 nucleotides long. Lineage: Eukaryota; Metazoa; Arthropoda; Arachnida; Araneae; Eresidae. The record is from RefSeq and is a predicted model, not a curated record.
CACAAAAGACCACUCAGUUGCUUUUUGCGAACGUUAUUUUGUUUACGUUCUUUCCCUUGAACGGACCUACAUGCCUUAUUCACCCACAAGCGUCUAGCCCCUCAGAUGCUAGUUUCCUCCUGAUUCCUCCCUGAUCGUUUGCGCAGAUUCACGCGCAGCGUGUUUACUCCAAGGAGCUGGGCGUGGUCAAAGCCGAUUUUUUUAAAACGCCACGCGUUUAAAACGAUAUGAACUUGGUGCGCAUUACUGAAUGUACCCGUGUAUCUACACAAACCCAAUCAUUUUCAUGUUUAACAGAAUUAGAAGACAAAUUGAAAGAUUUUUUGAUGUUAUGUAAAUCUUGUUUUGUAAGAAAAGGAAACCUCUCAAGCCGGGCAUCUCAUAGAGAAUUUCCAAUUUCAUCUAAAAUAUUAUCCAGAGAAAUUUUUGCUGCUAUCUUUGAUGCAAUAUUUUUUAUUUCAUCUGUUGUUAAAAAUAAGUGACCUAAAUCAUUCCGAUGCCCAGUAUGUAUUUUCUGAUAUGACACUACACAUUUGCCAUCUGUAUGUUCUGUUACUUUUAAUGCAGCUGCACAAUAUGUAUUUAUUUUAUUGCUACCAAGGGUUUUUAAGUGACACAAACCUUUACUUUCUGAUAUAAAAUUUCCUGAACAGUGGCAUUACACCAUGUAUAUUAAAUAUGCUUACUCCAUAAGAAA